UCUAAAAAUUCCUCUAGGAAAUUAGUUUCGACCUAAUUUUAGCUUUUAGCUUUUAGAA
This 58-nucleotide transfer RNA is filed under the name Gnathostomula paradoxa. RNAcentral's name for it is "tRNA-Arg". The record is from RNAcentral. Lineage: Eukaryota; Metazoa; Gnathostomulida; Bursovaginoidea; Gnathostomulidae.